RNAcentral lists this ribosomal RNA (301 nucleotides) under uncultured bacterium. RNAcentral describes it as "partial 16S ribosomal RNA". It matches the Rfam family "Bacterial small subunit ribosomal RNA", at positions 509 to 807 of the family's 1533-position model. The record is from RNAcentral.
CAGUAGCCGCGGGAAUACGUAGGUGGCAAGCGUUGUCCGGAAUUAUUGGGCGUAAGGCGCGCGCAGGUGGUUUAAUAAGUCUGAUGUGAAAGCCCACAGCUCAACCGUGGAGGGUCAUUGGAAACUGUUAAACUUGAGUGCAGGAGAGAAAAGUGGAAUUCCUAGUGUAGCGGUGAAAUGCGUAGAGAUUAGGAGGAACACCAGUGGCGAAGGCGGCUUUUUGGCCUGUAACUGACACUGAGGCGCGAAAGCGUGGGGCGCAAACAGGAUUAGAUACCCCGGUAGUCCCUGUCUCUUAUAC